This is a non-coding RNA of Caenorhabditis elegans, 143 nucleotides long. Lineage: Eukaryota; Metazoa; Nematoda; Chromadorea; Rhabditida; Rhabditidae. The record is from Ensembl.
ACGGUAGUUCUCGAUGUGUGUGCAAGGUGUUUGCGUAUGCGGCGCCAUACCUCACGACAGUUCCACGCUUGCAUGUCCUGUGAGAAUUUUUGCAGAAAAUUUCGGCACUUCGAGCAAUGUAAUGAAGACUUUUGCUGCAAAUU